AAUUAAAAAUAAAACUAAAAGGACGCGGUAACCUUGACCGUGAUAAUGUAGCAUAAUCACUCGCCAUUUAAUUGAUGGAUAGUAUGAAUGGUUGAACGAAUAUUCCACUGUCUUAAAGAGAAUUACAAGAAAUUGAAAUAAUAGUUAAGAUGCUAUUUAAAACUGUAAGACGAAAAGACCCUAUAGAGCUUAACUAUAAUCUCUUUACUUAAAAAGAAAAAUAAUUUUCUUAUAUAAAGAGAUUGGUAGUUUAGUUGGGGCGACUGUCUUCUAAAAUAAACGAAGACAAGCAAUGUUAAUAAAAAACUUAUUGUAUAAUAAAUCUAUUUAACAAUUAUAAAAGUAGGCUAUAUUGACCCGUUUUUACUAAAAAACAAGGAAAAACGAUCAAUUGAUAAAAGCUACCUUAGGGAUAACAGGAUAAUUUCAUUUUAGAGCUC
This 440-nucleotide ribosomal RNA is filed under the name Obelia geniculata (knotted thread hydroid). Its description in RNAcentral is "partial 16S ribosomal RNA". It matches the Rfam family "Bacterial large subunit ribosomal RNA", at positions 1909 to 2501 of the family's 2925-position model. Lineage: Eukaryota; Metazoa; Cnidaria; Hydrozoa; Leptothecata; Obeliidae. The record is from RNAcentral.